RNAcentral lists this long non-coding RNA (6787 nucleotides) under Chlamydomonas reinhardtii. RNAcentral's name for it is "long non-coding RNA (CREI_LNC000399)". The record is from RNAcentral. Lineage: Eukaryota; Viridiplantae; Chlorophyta; Chlorophyceae; Chlamydomonadales; Chlamydomonadaceae.
ACCGGCGGGGCUGUGGCCGCCUGCAGGGGGCCCAGCCGCGUCGUCGUGGCGGCUGUAAGAUGAGGCAGCUUUGGCAGAGAACGGCAGCGGAAUGACACGAUGGGGCUCAGGUGCGUGCAAUCCUAUAUAAGUGUGUUAACAGGCGACAAGGAGGUUUCUUAUGGAUGUUUCUGCGCACAUGGCUUACAUAAGUGCACAGUAAUGAUGGUGGGCCGCCCCGCAGCAGGAGUUCUAGUUAGGAUAGGUAGGAAGCAAGUGCGCUCGGGCGGGCGUACUAAAUUGCACGCAGUUGCACAUAUUCGUGGCCUUGGUCGCAGGGAUCGAUUUUCCAAACUUGCACCAAUUCCUGCAAGAGAGGGUUAGUAGUGUUUGGGCUCGAGCAUGGGCGCGAUUGCCCUUCCACUCAGCCUUGCGACCUUGGUAGCUAUCUUCUUUCUAGCGCUUCAGCCAGCAUGGAGUUUAACACAGCAAGGCGAGCUCAGCGCCGAUUCGAUGCCGAACCGCAUGCCCUGGCAGCGCGACAGCGACUGGGCGCCCGAGUACGAGAAGUAUGUUAACGACCUGCCUGGACUGGUGCGGGCGCAGCGGCGGCCAGGUGAGCUCGCAGACUCGGGCGCCGCGCCGAGUGCUUGGCGCUCGGGGUCCCGGAUUUACCUCCGCAGGGGUGUUGACUGGAGAGGGUGAGGGCCGGCAAAGGGCCCCGGGGCCCGCAGCUGCUUCCUACCGGCACCUAACGCGCUACCGCUUUCACUCCGCAUCCGCUUCAAUUCGGGUGCCGCCGGACAAUUGUCCCGGCUCCUCUCACACGCUCUCGCACAGCUGGGGCACACGUCCUGCCCGGCUCCCUGCCACGCAGCCCACCCAGUCACCCAUGCUCGCGGCCUGCCAAUGCCUGCCCUCCUCCCUUCCGCUUACAUAAUCCACCGCCACUCACAUUGCCACACCGCCGCCGCUCACCACCAUUCGCCGCACCGCACCCGAACACUGCUGCAUAGGUGUGCGUUGGAUGACGGUGUUCGCCAUGUCAGGAAUGGAGGAGGAAGCUAGCCUGCUGCUCAUGAAUGCCCUCACCUCCUUCCUGAGGUUCGGGGGUAGCGGCGGAGGAAGCUACCUGGUAGCUGCCACCUCGGCCGCCGCGCUGGCCGGCUGCCGGCGGCUCCGGCUGCCCUGCUGGAACGCCAGCGCGGUGGUGGCGGCGGGCAUGGCGCCGGCGGCGUGUGCGCACCUGGGGCAGGCGCGGCUGUGCCCGGCCCUGGUGCGCUACCUGCAGCGGCACGGGGCACAGGGCGCCUACCUCAGUCACGGGUAGGACGCGGGGUGCGGCGGCUGAUAGUGUGUGUGAGGAUUGAGGGGCGUUGAGGGGUGGCGGGUGAAAUUGCGUGUGUGUGUGGGGGGGGGGGGGGGUGUAGAUACCAGCCCAAACUAAACCAAACCCAAUGCAAUAAACUGGGGGUUCGGGAGGUGGGAAGCAGGGGCAGGGCAUGUGGCGUACCUUCAUUCCUCCAAAACCCCUUCCCCUUGUGCCCGCCCCCCCCCCUGCCUCUCCCACCUCCUGCAGCUACCACCUGGCCUGCUGGGUGAAGGUGCCGGUGGUGGCGGCGCUGCUGAGGGCACUGCCGCCGCCGCCCGACCCCGGGCAGCAGCCGGCGGCGGCGGCGGAGUGGGCGGCGGGCGGCGGCGGGGGGCUGCAGGGCGUGUUCCUGUCCGACCAUGACGUGGUGAGCAGGGAGGGGAGGGGAGAGGAGAGGGAGGGAGGGAAGUGGAGAGAGAGGGCUUCGUGCCAGAGCCCAACGACAAGAGGGAGGGAGGGAGGGAGGGAGGGAGGGAGGGAGGGAGGGAGACAGUGGUGAGGUGUAGUCCAGUCCGGGUGUGUGGGGCAAAUGGACUUUGGUGAGGAAGGGGGCAAAAGAAGGGGGGGCGAUAGGAGCGGCGCGGGCGGAAGGGGCGAAUUGCAUCGCCCACGUGCCCAUGCCGCCACGUGGCCACGUGUCGCGGGAGCCUGCACAUGCGGCGGCAGCGGCCAUAGACCCGCUGGAGCUCAAUGCAAGCGGGGCUGCGAUUGACCAACGGUGUGCAGCGGCCCAAGCCGACACACGGCAGCGGGGUGCGCAGCAUGGGGACAGCCCACACGCCGCCCCCACAGAGCGGAUCCAUGUGUGGGUGGGUGUAUGGUACUGCAUGGAACCCAACGGCGCUGUUCCCCUCUUUCCUCACCCGGCCAACACCCACCCACCCGCCCGCCCACCUGCCCGCCCCCCUCAUACACAGGUGUACCUGAAGCGUGUCCCCGACACCCUGGACGCCUUCUUUUUUGGAUCCAAAUUCAGCAGCAACAGCAGCCAUCCACCAGAUCCGGAUCCUGCAGCCGCCACCGCCGCCCCGCCGUACGACGUGACCGCCAUGGGCGAGCACGGCGGCAUCAACAGCGGCGUGGUUGCGGCGCGCAACACGCCUGCCGUACACGCAAUGUACGACGCCUGGUCCCGCCUGAUCACGUCCCGUGACUCGGACCAGGGGCAGCACCUCGAGCUGCGGGGGAAGCACUGGGUGCCGUGUCGGGCGCGGGGCGACUGCCCGGGCGCGGGGCCGACCGUGGCAGCCCUGGCCAGGCACAACCCGCCCUGGGGCAAGGGCCGCAUCUGCCCGCCCGUUGACCGGUCAAACCACACCCACUGGGUCUGGUACGACGGCAAGGGCGAGGUACGGGACCACUGUGCCGUACGGGAGCGGCUGUACGCGCACAUGAUCUGUCUGGGCGGUUCGGAGAAGCUGCGCGCAGCCAAGGCCCUGGGGCUGUGGUUCCUGGAUGAAACCGACCCAUGGGUGACCAAUGAGGCCGCCAUUGCGGCCGCCGGCCUGCCGUGCGCGCCGCCGAGUGACGUGGCGCGGCUGUACGUCAUGCAGCCGGCGCCGCCGCCAGUGCCGCCGCCGCCACGGGGGCGGGGGAUCUAGGGAGCGGGGUGGCUGCGGCGGCGGUGGAAAGAGAGGCAAGGCGAAGGGGACGGAGGAGAAGUGGUGAAGACUGCUGGGGGCGCAUCCGAUGUAGCAGGAGGGCAGGCGGGUGGCAGUGGGUAGAUGUGGGGAAGUAGAUGGGGAGGGGGCGGUGCGCGUGAAGGGCAGCAGCCGGUAGCCAAACUGGAGGCAGGGUCUGACAAAGAAGAGGCAGGGGUGUAGGCAGGGGGCAGGGAAGAUUUGAUACACUCAGACGAGGAUGGCGCCGCGGCAGGGAGGAAGGCGGAGCGGGCGAGGAUGGGGUGGAAGAGCUAGUCGGCAGUUAAGGCGGAGGCGGAAGAGGAGUAGUGUGUGCUCACACAAAGUGUGUGUGAGGGGGGGGGCGCAUGGCGGGCACUGCACCGAAAGGUGUAAUGGAUGGAAGGACCAGGUAGUUGUGAGCAGUGAGCGACGGGUUAUGGCUGUAGUGUGGUGGGAGGCGCGUGGGCCGUGGACACCAGACGCGAGGGCUGUGGGGCUCUGACGCACACGGAGGAGGAGGCACCAAGGCACGGCGGCCUGGGCCCAGGGCGCGAUGCCACACGGUACUGAGAGUGCACUGACCAGGCGGGCGGGGAGGAGGGGCGGGCAGGCACCUACGCCCCCUGCUGCCCUUGUAACCCGACCGCCCGACCAGCACCACUGCACUGCCCGUGGCAAGGCCUGCUGUGGCACUCAUGUGCGCACUGCGUUCCCCCCCCCCCCACACACACACACAGCCACGCACAGCCAGCCAGCGGGCUGCGGCGAUACCUGGAACCGUGGCAACUGGCAGUCGACAUCUGUUGGCACCGCACCGCACGCCUGCGUCGUCUCACGCACUGGCGCACCGGCUCGGCGGCGAGGGCGGCGCCUGCCAGCGGCCGACCAAGUCCCAACCACCGCACGUCGGUCGCCAACCGCUGCAAAUCAGAGCCGACGAUGCGCGCUGACCCCGUGUCAUGUACGGGGCUCACGGCUGUUCUUAAGCGUGCGGGUCGCGAGGCUCGCGGCGUGUCGGGCGGCCCCUUGUCAGCGCUGCAACGCUCGGGCUCUGGAGCGGGCCGGCCCGCAAGUCGACAGGCCGUGGUGCCGGCUGGCCCUAGGGCCGCGCCCUGAUGCGAGCGCUCAGUUGCCGACUAGAAAACCCUUGCUGCGCUUCCCUACACAACAACAGCGCCGACCACAUCCUCGCUUGCUGUGCCACGCACCGAACUCGCUUCAAACCCGUGUCGGCACUUCUGAACACGCGCAUCGCCGGACCGCCGGUUGCUGACGCCACCCCCAGCCUUUAGGUAAAGUAUUCCACCACAUCCUGCUGAUGCGCUUGCUCGCUAGUCCAUCAGACUUCGAUAUCAUCCAGCGGUGGCGCGAAGCAGGAGCGCCCGUCGACAUGCGCGACUGCACUCGCACCAAGCUAGCGGCUGAGCCCAAGCCCAACAUCUAAUUGGCGCUGUUGCUGGGUAUGAAGUUAGCGCUACACUCAGCCCGAUGAAGAGUUUAUGACGAGCGACGGUUCAGAUGCGUUCCGGAGCUGGACCACCGUCACGCAGAGCCCCAACAAAGGCUCCACAUGUGCUAAUGCAAACAACAUGUAUCACUUGUAACCAGCAGCUUUGCCAAUGUGCAUGAUUUGGCUUAGCGAGGCAGUCGCAAGCCUGGCGCGUGGCGCAUUCUUGCAGCGCGCCAGCCCCCGCAGCUUUAGCGGUCCAUUGCAAGCUCAAUGGGCCACGUCGCAAUGCACCAGCGGGCGAGCGGACAGCGCACGCUGGCGCGCGACCGAUCGGGCGCGGGGUCGAUCGAGAUGGCCGGGUACGGCGAUCGGCGCGCGAGAUGGGACCAUGAACCCCUUCUUAAGCGACGCGCGCUCGUGAAAAUAUCGUGACCGGCUUCAACCAGUCCCCACACAUCAGUCAAAAUGGCCUUCGCUCUGUCCUUCUCCCGCAAGGCUCUGCAGGUGUGCAAGCUAGGGUCGCACAUCGCUUAGCGAAACAACUCACGUCACCUUUGUUGGGCUCAUGGGCCCUCGUGGAGCUUCGGGAGCUAACCUGCUGGCGAUGGCGUGUCUAUGUGCAGGUGUCCGCCAAGGCCACCGGCAAGAAGGGCACCGGCAAGACCGUGAGUGUUCCGGCAUGCGCGGGGCACGGGUUCGCGCUGGGCUUCAGUCUCAUGGAUCCCCUUGCGGGCUUGGGCUCAGUGGCAGUGUUCUAGUCAGCAGCGCCGCGGGGAUUCUUGAGUUAUUGCCACCGUUUGCGCCUGUGGCUUCGCACAUGGCAACCCGCUUAAGCAACCCUUCAACGCCUUAUGCGGAUCUUCACUUGCUGGACUCUAGGCAUGUUCUAGGUACAUCAUAUAUGCCAUGCAUUGACUACCAUAACUAAAUGCGCGCCCUCCUUCCUCUUUGCUUGCUCUUCAGGCUGCCAAGCAGGCCCCCGCCAGCUCCGGCAUUGAGUUCUACGGCCCCAACCGCGCCAAGUGGCUGGGUGAGUGCUGGGAUGGCGUAUGGGAUAGUGGAUCUGUGUAGCGACAGGCUCGCGACGGGACUUGUCGGCACAUGGUAGGUAUCCGUCGCUGAUCCUAUCGACGCUCGCGCUCGCAUACAUGAGCCAGUUGGCUUUGAGCAGCCAGCCUUGUUCCUGCCAGAAACCCAGCGCCCAUGUUGAAGCAUGCAUGCUGUCCAACACGUCGGCCUGACCUUGUCACCACCCCCCUUGUAGGCCCCUACUCCGAGAAUGCCACCCCCGCCUACCUGACUGGCGAGUUCCCCGGCGACUACGGCUGGGACACCGCCGGUCUGUCGGCUGACCCGGAGACCUUCAAGCGCUACCGCGAGCUGGAGCUGAUCCACGCCCGCUGGGCUAUGCUGGGCGCUCUGGGCUGCAUCACCCCCGAGCUGCUGGCCAAGAGCGGCACCCAGUUCGGCGAGGCUGUCUGGUUCAAGGCCGGCGCCCAGAUCUUCUCUGAGGGCGGCCUGGACUACCUGGGCAACCCCUCCCUGGUGCACGCCCAGAACAUCGUCGCCACCCUGGCCGUUCAGGUGAGGGGCUAUGGCAGGCGGAUGUGUGAAAGCCGGGUAUGCGAAGAAAGCUAUAUGCGCGAUGCUGUGGGAAGGGUGCAUGAUCUUGGUUGUGCACACAGCGCUCCAGCGUUGCCAGCGGGAGCCACCCAGCCAAAAGCACCGGCGCUACACGUCCUUGUACUCCCUACUUUCACCGCACUAACCGCACCCCUCUGCUUGCCCUGCUCCAUAGGUUAUCCUGAUGGGCCUGGUGGAGGGCUACCGUGUCAACGGCGGCCCCGCCGGCGAGGGCCUGGACCCCCUGUACCCCGGCGAGUCGUUCGACCCCCUGGGCCUGGCUGACGACCCCGACACCUUCGCUGAGCUGAAGGUGAAGGAGAUCAAGAACGGCCGCCUGGCCAUGUUCUCCAUGUUCGGCUUCUUCGUCCAGGCCAUCGUGACCGGCAAGGGCCCCAUCCAGAACCUGGACGACCACCUGUCCAACCCCACCGUGAACAACGCGUUCGCCUUCGCCACCAAGUUCACCCCCUCCGCGUAAAUUCUGUUCUCAUGACUUCAAUCAGUCAGUGAGCGGCAUUUGUUGCGUCUUUUUGAAAGCGUAAGAGCGGACGAAGUGUAUGAGGAGCAAGCGAGAUCGCGUCGCGUCGUGAUGGAGUUGAUGGUGUGAUGCAGGCGGAUGGAGGCGGAGAAUGAUGUGUGCCGUGUGUCGUUUACCUAGAGAAGACAAUUUUUAAACCGCAGCGUUUGUGGUUUACGCGGUCCCGUGGUGCGCGCAAAUGCGUAUGCCCCCCGUGUAAU